RNAcentral lists this transfer RNA (72 nucleotides) under Capra hircus (goat). It matches the Rfam family "tRNA". Rfam says of the family: Transfer RNA (tRNA) molecules are approximately 80 nucleotides in length. Their secondary structure includes four short double-helical elements and three loops (D, anti-codon, and T loops). Further hydrogen bonds mediate the characteristic L-shaped molecular structure. tRNAs have two regions of fundamental functional importance: the anti-codon, which is responsible for specific mRNA codon recognition, and the 3' end, to which the tRNAs corresponding amino acid is attached (by aminoacyl-tRNA synthetases). tRNAs cope with the degeneracy of the genetic code in two manners: having more than one tRNA (with a specific anti-codon) for a particular amino acid; and 'wobble' base-pairing, i.e. permitting non-standard base-pairing at the 3rd anti-codon position. The record is from Rfam by way of RNAcentral. RNAcentral also lists the same sequence under 1 other name. Lineage: Eukaryota; Metazoa; Chordata; Mammalia; Artiodactyla; Bovidae.
UCCCUGGUGGCUCAGCUGGUAGAGAAUCUGCCUGCAAUGCGGGAGACCUGGGUUCAAUCCCUGGGUUGGGAG